This 254-nucleotide unclassified non-coding RNA is filed under the name Hevea brasiliensis (rubber tree). Lineage: Eukaryota; Viridiplantae; Streptophyta; Magnoliopsida; Malpighiales; Euphorbiaceae. The record is from RNAcentral.
UUCAGUUUAUAUGCAGUUCCAAAUUAUGUUGCAAAUCAGCAAGUCAAGAUCAAGAGGGCAAAAUUAAUCUCAUUUUAAUUUAAGAAAAUUUUUUAAAAAUUAAUUGUGCCCAGAUAAAAAAAUUUCAAUUUUCCUUUUCCUUACUACAAAUCAAGUACUAAACUCAAAGCAAAUGUGAUUAAUGGAGACAGAAAAUUAAGUUGAGUAAUGGAAUAGAAAGACAUAAUUACCUCUGCAUGAAGUUUCUUAUUCUG